This 253-nucleotide ribosomal RNA is filed under the name uncultured bacterium. RNAcentral describes it as "partial 16S ribosomal RNA". It matches the Rfam family "Bacterial small subunit ribosomal RNA", at positions 524 to 776 of the family's 1533-position model. The record is from RNAcentral.
UACGUAGGGGGCGAGCGUUAUCCGGAUUCACCGGGUGUAAAGGGAGCGUAGACGGCCAUGCAAGCCAGGGGUGAAAGCCCGGGGCCCAACCCCGGGACUGCCCUUGGAACUGCAUGGCUGGAGUGCGGGAGGGGCAGGCGGAAUUCCUGGUGUAGCGGUGAAAUGCGUAGAUAUCAGGAGGAACACCGGCGGCGAAGGCGGCCUGCUGGACCGCGACUGACGUUGAGGCUCGAAAGCGUGGGGGGCGAACAGG